Molecule: ribosomal RNA, 401 nt
Filed under: uncultured bacterium
Lineage: Bacteria
Description: bacterial SSU rRNA
Rfam family: Bacterial small subunit ribosomal RNA
Source: RNAcentral
CUUAGUGGCGACGGGCGAGUAACGCGUGAGCAACCUGCCCUUCAGAGGGGGAACAACAGUUGGAAACGACUGCUAAUACCGCAUAACGGUGCUUUCGGGGGCAUCCCGAGAGCACCAAAGAUUUAUCGCUGAAGGAUGGGCUCGCGUCCGAUUAGAUAGUUGGUGGGGUAAACGGCCUACCAAGUCGACGAUCGGUAGCCGAACUGAGAGGGUGAACGGCCACAUUGGGACUGAGACACGGCCCAGACUCCUACGGGAGGCAGCAGUCGGGAAUAUUGCACAAUGGAGGAAACUCUGAUGCAGUGACGCCGCGUACAGGAAGAAGGUCUUUGGAUUGUAAACUGUUGUCGAGAGGGAAGAACAAAGACAGUACCUCUGGAGGAAGCUCCGGCAACUACGUG